GAGAGUUAAACAGUACGUGAAAUUGUUGAAAGGGAAACGAUUGAAGCCAGUCGUACCUGCGGAUAAUCAGCCUUUAGAUGCGAUUUUGUGGAGCGUGAAGAGCUAAUCGCCUUCAUGCCUGUAUAUUCGUGUACUUGGGGUGUACUUAUUCGUGUGGUAAGUUAACAUCAAUUUUGGUUGUCAUAAAAUGAUUGGAGGAAUGUAGCUUCGAUCUCGUAUUGAAGUGUUAUAGCCUUUGGUAGAUGUGAUGAUCGGGAUUGAGGAUUGCAACGGAUACCCUUCGGGGCUACCUGUCUGAUCUCUGAUUGUUGCUUUGGUGCUGAAAGCUUGCUUAUGGUUAUCAAAGUCGAUGGUCAAUAGGUUAGAAUGGGUUAAAUUCGUUAAGGAUGUUGACGUAAUGGCUUUAAACGA
This 411-nucleotide ribosomal RNA is filed under the name uncultured Rhizophagus. Its description in RNAcentral is "partial 28S ribosomal RNA". Lineage: Eukaryota; Fungi; Glomeromycota; Glomeromycetes; Glomerales; Glomeraceae. The record is from RNAcentral.